AGCCAACCUACCCUAUGGACGGGGAUAACCUCGGGAAACUGAGGAUAAACCCCGAUAGAUCAUUAUGCCUGGAACGGUUUAUGGUCCAAACGAUUCGUCGCCGUAGGAUGGACUGCGGCCUAUCAGCUUGUUGGCGAGGUAAUGGCCCACCAAGGCUAUUACAGGUACGGGCUCUGAGAGGAGAAGCCCGGAGAUGGGUACUGAGACACGGACCCAGGCCCUAUGGGGCGCAGCAGGCGAGGAAACUUUGCAAUGUGCGAAAGCACGACAAGGUUAAUCCGAGUGGUUCCUGCUAAAGGAAUCUUUUGUUAGUCAUAAUACCACUAUCGAAUAAGGGGUGGGCAAGUUCUGGUGUCAGCCGCCGCGGUAAAACCAGCACCUCAAGUGGUCAGGAGGAUUAUUGGGCCUAAAGCAUCCGUAGCCGGCUCUGUAAGUUUUCGGUUAAAUCUGUACGCUCAACGUACAGGCUGCCGGGAAUACUGCAGAGCUAGGGAGUGGGAGAGGUAGACGGUACUCGGUAGGAAGGGGUAAAAUCCUUUGAUCUAUUGAUGACCACCUGUGGCGAAGGCGGUCUACCAGAACACGUCCGACGGUGAGGGAUGAAAGCUGGGGGAGCAAACCGGAUUAGAUACCCGGGUAGUCCCAGCUGUAAACUAUGCAAACUCAGUGAUGCCCUGGCUUGUGGCCAGUGCAGUGCCGCAGGGAAGCCGUUAAGUUUGCCGCCUGGGAAGUACGUACGCAAGUAUGAAACUUAAAGGAAUUGGCGGGGGAGCACCACAAGGGGUGAAGCCUGCGGUUC
RNAcentral lists this ribosomal RNA (799 nucleotides) under uncultured archaeon. Its description in RNAcentral is "bacterial SSU rRNA". It matches the Rfam family "Archaeal small subunit ribosomal RNA", at positions 102 to 903 of the family's 1478-position model. The record is from RNAcentral.